RNAcentral lists this ribosomal RNA (458 nucleotides) under uncultured bacterium. RNAcentral's name for it is "partial 16S ribosomal RNA". It matches the Rfam family "Bacterial small subunit ribosomal RNA", at positions 338 to 795 of the family's 1533-position model. The record is from RNAcentral.
CCUACGGGAGGCAGCAGUGGGGAAUAUUGGGCAAUGGGCGCAAGCCUGACCCAGCAACGCCGCGUGAAGGAAGAAGGCUUUCGGGUUGUAAACUUCUUUUAUAAGGGAAUAAAGUGCCCCACGUGUGGGGUUUUGUAUGUACCUUAUGAAUAAGCAUCGGCUAAUUCCGUGCCAGCAGCCGCGGUAAUAUGGAAGAUGCGAGCGUUAUCCGGAUUUAUUGGGUUUAAAGGGAGCGUAGGCGGUUCCAUAAGUCAGCGGUAAAAUCGUGCGGCUCAACCGUACCGUGCCGUUGAAACUGUGGGACUUGAGUAUGCGCAGGGUACAUGGAAUUCGUGGUGUAGCGGUGAAAUGCUUAGAUAUCACGCAGAACUCCGAUUGCGAAGGCAGCAUACCGGCGCCCGACUGACGCUGAAGCACGAAAGCGUGGGUAUCGAACAGGAUUAGAUACCCUAGUAGUC